GAUGAACGUUGGCGGCGUGCCUAAUACAUGCAAGUCGAACGAAGACUGUAGUAAUACUGUCUUAGUGGCGAACGGGUGAGUAACGCGUGGGUGACCUGCCCCGAAGUGUGGGAUAACAGUUCGAAAGAACUGCUAAUACCGCAUAAUAUCCAAGAGAUUAGACGCUUUUGGAUUAAAGGAGAAAUUCGCUUCGGGAGGGGCCCGCGUCCCAUCAGCUAGUUGGUAAGGUAAUGGCUUACCAAGGCGAUGACGGGUAGGGGACCUGAGAGGGUGGCCCCCCACAAUGGAACUGAAACACGGUCCAUACGCCUACGGGUGGCAGCAGUAGGGAAUAUUAGUAAUGGGCGAAAGCCUGAACUAGCAACGCCGCGUGUGCGAAGAAGGCCUUCGGGUUGUAAAGCACUUUUUGAGAGGAUGAGGAAGGACGGUACUCUCAGAAUAAGUCUCGGCUAACUACGUGCCAGCAACCGCGGUAAUCUGUAGUCGU
This 487-nucleotide ribosomal RNA is filed under the name uncultured bacterium. RNAcentral's name for it is "bacterial SSU rRNA". It matches the Rfam family "Bacterial small subunit ribosomal RNA", at positions 28 to 534 of the family's 1533-position model. The record is from RNAcentral.